Long non-coding RNA from Zea mays, 1631 nucleotides. RefSeq lists it as uncharacterized. The record is from RefSeq and is a predicted model, not a curated record. NCBI's taxonomy places the organism in Eukaryota, Viridiplantae, Streptophyta, Magnoliopsida, Poales, Poaceae. The transcript has 3 exons.
CUCCUACUGAAAUCCUUAUCUCUCGCCGCCUAGCUUCACCCGCACAUGCCCACCGUCGUUCGUGUCGCCCACCUGCAGCCCCGCCUCUCUCUUCCUUCCUCCUUGCACCACGCUACUUGAUGUGUCCCUGCACGGUCGAGUCAUGGCACCAUCGCCGUCGGGAGCAGCGACUGUGGUUCCUCAGUGUCCCUGCUCCCCUGCGCUUUGUCCUAGGGUUGCGUGGUGGGGAGGAGAAAAGGUACCAGUGGAAGAUGGCGCUGCCGCAACGACAAAGAUGGGAGCGGUUAGCCAUGGAGUGGGAUGUGCAGAGGCGGAGGUGAGAUAACUAGAGCAUAAGAAAUUGAACGGCUUCUUCUCCAUCCCAUUUCCCUUCGUUUGCCUACUCCCUUCACCGCAUACGGAUAGGCCCUCAAGGUGAUUUGCUUCUUCUCCCCAUACCAAAUCCUAAGUGCUGAAGCAUCUACAGGGGAAUGAUAAUACGAUCAGCUAAGCAAGGUCAUAGGUUAGGUCUAGCUUCGACGGAUUAGACGAGGAAGCCGCAGCAGACCUUGGCAUGAACAUGAUGUCUGAUCUGAAACUCGCGCUUAGGAAUGAAAAACUAAAGCAAGCUGCCAGUUGAAUGUAACCCGCAGAACUACAAAACGCGGCAACAUUUGUGGAUAGACUUCAGAUCGAGACUUCAAAGGUUUUUUUUGUUUCAUAGAUCUGGGACAAACAUCAUAAUAUUUGAUUGGCUACUCAGUUACUAAAAAAAUAUGCAUGCUAACUUGACUGUUGAGACAGGAACUUCUGUUUUUGGUAAUAAAGGCAUUCAUCACGUCGUUCUUUGUGCAGAAUUUAAUCUUCACCAUUCAUAUGGGCUGUAGGACUAGGUCUGUAGCAAAAAAAUGUAUGAAAUUAGAUACUAUAUAUGCCAUGAUCUUUCACAGAUUGUAGAACCAUGAAGGGAUACAAUAUAUAUAGCUAAAAUUUCAGAAAAUGCUACAUCUAUUCUAGGUACAUCAACCUUUUGAUUAGUAUAGGUCCUUGCACGCUAAUGUGGCGAUGGUUGUGGUGGUUGUGACUGCAAGCUGAAGGACUCCAUGUCGCACAUACACAUGCGGGACACGGGACUUUGCUAGGAGUGGGAGUGAUUUUCAUGGCCAGCGACAGUCAGCAGAGGAAACUCCCACUGAUAAAGAUAAAGAGAAAGCUUCCUCUUCAAUCUCCUCCAAAGAGGUUCAAACAAGGAUCAUUCAUAAUCAAAGAUUCCACAGACCAAAAGACGAGGAAUGAUAUAUGCAACCACACGAAACUAACUGAGAUUCAACCAUUGUAUGCAUUGCACCACCUUUUGUUAUCGAUCCUACCCUUUUGUAACUAAAUAUAAUGCUCGCAAGUAUAAACAACCCUUCCUAUGUGGUACUAAACACCAAGAUCAGUUUAUGUGAUGUAGGACCAGUUUUCCUAUGUGGUAUUAAACACCAGGAUUAGUUUAUGUGAUGUAGGAUCAAUUUUCCUAUGUGGUACUAAACACCAGUAUCAGAUUAUGUGAUGUAGGAUCAGUUUCCGUGGCGCAGCUCAUAUCUAUUUGGGCUGAUGGCUUAUUAAGAAGACAUGAUAACUAUGUACGUUAUCAGUUUGUAACUAAG